Molecule: long non-coding RNA, 2856 nt
Organism: Leptidea sinapis
Lineage: Eukaryota; Metazoa; Arthropoda; Insecta; Lepidoptera; Pieridae
Exons: 2
Source: RefSeq, a predicted model, not a curated record
UGUGUAAGGGAUUGUGUCAGAAGCCAAGCCGUAUUUUCAAAUUUCGCCUACCGUUGAAACUAUAAAUUUGUAAAGCGGCACGAAGCAGUCAUAAGUUUUCAAUAACUGCUGAAGUGAGCGCGGGAUGUAUUCAGCAUUCUUAUAAAUAUCCAAGAGGCAGUCUAUCAAUGUAAAUCUUUGAAGAUUAUAUUGGGGACAGUCAAAGAAAAUGUGAUCAAGAGUUUGGAUGGAUAAAUUUGAUAGAAUUGACAAGUUGGAGAAUCUAAAACACCGAUCCUAAAUAAAUGAGCACCACUACGAGAAUGUCCCAGACGUAACCGACAAAUUGUGGUGUAUAAUUUUCUGUGGAAGUAUUUUUUCUUUUUAACAAACCAGGGAGGAGAGAUUUCGUUUUAAUGUCGGCUAACCAUUUGCCCUUUGUUUGAACAACUUGUUGCCAAUAAUUCUGAAAGUCUUGCAAGAAUGUACCUUUAAAAUGAGACAGUGCAUCUGUGUGUGGUAUGGGAAUGUUCAAAGCAGUAUGUAUCUGAUUACUAUUCACAAUAGAUUUAGCAAGAUAAUCAGCUUGUUCAUUUCCUUCCACGCCUAUGUGUGAAGAAGUCCAGAAUAAAACAAUAUCUUUUGUUAGGCAUAAGCAUUGAUAUUUGUCUCUAAUAUUGUAAAUGAUGAAAUUAGUUGUAACAUUACAUUUAGGAUAUUGUAAAGCUUUUAAAACACUCAUGCUAUCCGUUAUAACAAUCCAAUUAUUAUAUGACUGUUCUCCAAUAUAUUCUAGAGCAUCAUAUAUGGCAGCACAUUCUGCUGUGUAUAUACUAGCCAAGGUAUUUAACCUAUGAUUAAACCCACUCUGCAGUUGUAUGUCAUAAACUGUCAUAGAGACAGCAGUAUUACUUUCCUUGAUGCCUUCUACUUGAUAGUAGGAAUUAUUGUCAGUUUGGUUAAUAUAGUCCUGUAUCUUUAAUAGGAGUGGAUGAUUAUUAAUAGAAGUUAAUUUGAGAAAGAAUUUUGUUUGUAGAUAUUAUAGGAGUAGACCUAAAAGCGCCUGUUAUGAUCCUUAAGCAUUUAUUUUGUAUUUUUUCUAAUUUAUUCACUAAUGUAAUUACUCCACCAUAACAAAAGAAGGCCUACUCAAAAUGGCUACGGACUAAUGACUUAUAUAGUGUUAGCAAGAUGUGUGGGUCUGCACCCCAAUAUGUACCAGCUAAUGAUUUCAGAAUAUUGCAGGCCUUUAAUGCUCGAUUUCUAAUAUUUCAACAUAUUUGUGCCAUCUAAAAUUACUUAAAAACGUAACUCCUAAAAACUUUAUUGAAUUAUCUAUUGAAAUUUCCUUAGUACCAUAAUAUAUUUUUGCAUCUCUUAUUCUUAUAGAAUGCUUUGAAAAUAUUAUAUUGAAAAUAAAGCUCCAAUUUUUUGAGUGCUACAUUAAGAUCUAACACAACAUUUGAUAAAUUAAGUCCUGAACUAUACACUACUAGAUCAUCAGCAAAUUGGAGGUUAGAAACUCUAUUAACCAAAACAAUAUUUAUUUGAUUUAUGUAGAUUAUAAAGAGCAAUGGACUCAAAAUUCCGCCCUGCGAUACGCCUCUAUAUGAAUAUCGAGGACCUAUUAAUUGGUUAUUGACUCUAACAUAAAGUUUACGACCAAGCAAGAAAUUGAAUAUCCAACUAACUAUUUUUUCAGGGACAUUUAAGGAUAGCAGAAUGGAUGAUAAUUGUUCUAAAUUAACAUUAAUAAAUGCUCCUACAACAUCCAAAAAAACACCAGCCAAUAUCUUAUUGUCAAUCUGGGCACUAUGGAUGUCAAGACAUAAAUGCCGUAUACUCUCACAAGCAGAACGACCACAUCGAAAUCCAAAUUGAUUAUUAGAUUACUGUGUGGAGGAAUGUUGGAUGGAAUUGAAGAAGAUUCAGUUUCCAACACUACCAUGGAAAAUUUUGUGAUUGUAGGCAAGUGAUAGCUGCCCAAAGAGUCCUGAUGAACUUGCCAUUCACAGCACAGGAAUAAUACUAUUAUGAAUGAAUAUGAAGAUGAUACUAUUAUUAGAUCUAGUCCAUUUGGUCUCCAAGAAUUAGUACCCACUGUAGUUGGUUGAUCAUUAUUUAAGAGCAUUAAGUCAUUAUCAUCAAUGGAUGUAAUGACAUCCAUGAUGUCUCUACCUCUAGAAUUGGUUCUAUUACAACCUCAAAUGGCAUGGUGAGCAUUAAAAUCACAGUAAUUAUUAGUGGUUUUGGAAUACUAUGCAACAGUCUAUUAAAUUUAGAUUUGUCAAAGUUAGGUACACUGCUGCCAGGACUAUAAAAGCUAACAAUUGAGAUGUCUUUUUGUUUGUAUUUUAUUUUGAUUGCUACAUUUUGCAAGUAGUUAUCAGAAAAUGUUUCUAACUUUUGAAAAUAAAUGCCAUUUCUAACAAAAAUUGCUACACCAUUGUGAUCAUUACCACAAUCAUUUCUUAGUAUUGUAUAACCUCUGAUAGAAAACUGUAUAUUUGGUUUAAGCCAAGUUUCUGAUAUAAGUGCUAUGUGUAUGUCCUGCUCAUAAAGUAGGUUUUGAAGCUCAAGUCUGUUACUCAACAGACUUUGAGCAUUCCACUGUACUAUGUUAAGUUUGUGACAGUUGAAUGUGAUGUUUUAUUUUUAAUUUGUAUGGUAUCUUUAAUAGCUGAACUAAUUGCGUGUGAGCUAAUGCUUUGAUUCUGUGUUUUAUUUAGUGUAAUGACUUUUAUUAUUGAUUCUGUGAUUAGGUUCAUUGCUGCUGGAUUGGAUAAAAUUAAAUUAAUGAUGUCUUGUGUGUUCUCUGUCUUAUUGAGUGAUGGAAAGUUUGUUGGAUGUUUAAAUAAAUCUGAUAAUGGUGUUUUA